UACGUAGGGGGCGAGCGUUGUCCGGAUUUAUUGGGCGUAAAGAGCUCGUAGGCGGUUUGGUAAGUCGGGUGUGAAAUCUCCACGCUCAACGUGGAGGGGCCACUCGAUACUGCCAUGACUCGAGUCCGGUAGAGGAGUGUGGAAUUCCCGGUGUAGCGGUGAAAUGCGCAGAUAUCAGGAAGAACACCAAUGGCGAAGGCAGCUCUCUGGGACGGUACUGACGCUGAGACGCGAAAGCGUGGGGAGCGAACAGG
RNAcentral lists this ribosomal RNA (254 nucleotides) under uncultured bacterium. RNAcentral describes it as "partial 16S ribosomal RNA". It matches the Rfam family "Bacterial small subunit ribosomal RNA", at positions 524 to 776 of the family's 1533-position model. The record is from RNAcentral.